UCUAGCGGAGGUGUCAUGUUUAGCCUAUUGCUGUCAGAUCUAAGGUGGUGCGACAAUAGCGGGAGACGGACGGUAUGUGACAUAUUUGUCUUCCGUUUUCUCCUUCAGAGGUAUCCGGCUAUCAAGGUGUCGAUAAACGGAUAAGGACGGAUGGUACAAACGGCUUCAACGACGAGUUUACGCAUUCCGGUGGAAACACAAGAUGUCAAUAUUAGCUAUCUGGGGAGGUAUUGUCGCGAGGUAUAUGGCCUCAAGUAUUGUUUUCUGUUUUAUUUCUGGAUCCAUGGUGUUCGGCUGCUGGAUUUUACACUUUUAAUAACAUAUGGUUGCAUGCAUCGUCCUGAUGCAGAGACCGGGAGUUAUCCUUCUUUUUAAAAAA
This 379-nucleotide long non-coding RNA is filed under the name Hordeum vulgare. Its description in RNAcentral is "long non-coding RNA (HVUL_LNC020181)". Lineage: Eukaryota; Viridiplantae; Streptophyta; Magnoliopsida; Poales; Poaceae. The record is from RNAcentral.